RNAcentral lists this ribosomal RNA (173 nucleotides) under Acantopsis ioa. RNAcentral describes it as "partial 12S rRNA". Lineage: Eukaryota; Metazoa; Chordata; Actinopteri; Cypriniformes; Cobitidae. The record is from RNAcentral.
CACCGCGGUUAUACGAGAGGCCCCAGUUGAUGGACACGGCGUAAAGGGUGGUUAAGGUAAGACUAAAAUAAAGCUAAAGGAUUUCUUGGCUGUCAUACGCCCCUGAAACCCCGAAGUCCAACCACGAAAGUAGCUUUAGCACAAGCCCACCUGACCCCACGAAAGCUGAGGAA